This is an RNA transcript of Vitis vinifera (wine grape), 1683 nucleotides long. It is a transcript of the gene named ribonucleases P/MRP protein subunit POP1, with no coding region annotated. Lineage: Eukaryota; Viridiplantae; Streptophyta; Magnoliopsida; Vitales; Vitaceae. The record is from RefSeq and is a predicted model, not a curated record. The transcript has 6 exons.
AACAAAGAAUGGUUUCCUGCUCGACAGGCCUGCCGCCAAAAACCCAGGGUUGUAGAACACUAGACGGUGCUGCUCAGCUGUCAUCCUAAUCGCCGCCACCUUCACUCAGCCCCAUCAACACAAACGCAUCUCCAUCCAAUAACACCGGCGGCAAUCACCGUUCCGGCCAUACCGCCGUCGCCAUUCCUGAUCUUCAGUUUGGGUGUUAUUCCCAGUAAUGGUUACUGAUGGUUUCAAACGAUCAUCGAUAGCCCCACCUCCUCGAAGUCUUAAUGUUGAGAAAUUUGCAGAAUCCUGAGCUUCUGAACUUGAGGCUCUUCACUCAAUUGUAGCAAAUCGAGUGAACAACAAUUUCCGGUCUCAGAGAAACAAGAGAAGAAGGACCACGGGGUAUGAUAACAGAGAUGCAAACAAGAGAUUUAGAAAGAGGGAGAGAAUAGGGGUGGUUGAUAAAGGCAAUGUUGGGGCUUUGGAGAAAGAUGAGAAGACAGUUCCUCGUCGUAUUCGUCGGCGAGUUGAACUGAGAAGAAACCCUGAACAUGGUUACUCUACUUCUGGGGACGGUACCAAGAGGCUAAGAACCCAUGUUUGGCAUGCAAAGCGCUUCACAAUGACGAAGCUUUGGGGUUUCUACCUACCUCUGGGCUUGCAAGGCAGAGGAAGGGGUUCAAGGGCUCUCUUGAAGUAGUUCAGACAUGGAGCUCUUGUACAUGAUGCUUGUUACCACAUUGCCCUGCAAUUGGAGGGUCCGGAGGAUUCAUUAUUUUCAAUUCUAAGCAUGGUAUUGGUGCCUUCUCCAUCAGCUCACUCUGAGGAUAUUCUCCGUUUUGUUUUCUGGUGUUGUCUAUGGAAGUGCUAUGCUUCAUCAUGUUGGAGAACCUGGUUCUAAAUCAAUUGCCCCUGUAACCUAUAUGUGGAGACCCUUACAAAAAAAGGAUAUAGGUAUUGGAGUAGAACACCAUAAUGUUGAUUCUGUUAACAGCACACAGACAAAUGAGUGUUGUUCUUCCUUCCGCCAGCUAUGGGUGUGGAUGCAUGCCUCAGCUUUCAAUGAAGGAUAUGAUGCUUUGAAAUUUGCUUGUCAAGAACUGAUGGAUGAAACUGGCAUCUUGAUUAAUUGUUUUUCACUUGAGGGCCAACUUGCUAAAUUGGAAGUAAUAGGAUCAAAGGCAUUUGGACUUCUUCAAAAGAUACUGCAUCCUAUUACUUGUAAAAUUUUGAAAUCCUCGCAACUGACUAAGUGCUCUAGCCUUGAGCAUGAAGAGCAGAUUCCUUCUUGUGCAAUUCUAUCUCUUACAGUUAAUGAUCCAUGCAAUUUGCCUGAGAAAAAGACUACAGUUGUUCCAGAAGUGGCUUCUAACAAAGUACUUGGCGAUGCAUCAAAGAAUGAAGCUAUGGAAACCACUUCUUUAGUAGGAAAUCAGGACAUGGAUUUGUGGGAUGCUAGUAAUGGGCUCAGUCCUCCAAUGGAAGAGAAUGUGCUUUGCAUGGAAAAGCAUCACCGGCAUCUGGGAUUCUUCUGUCUCAGUGAGUCACAGUCUGGCAUAUUGAAUACUUCUAGUGAUGUGCAGCAUGGAUCAUGCCCAAUUCUGCUUUUAAAAAAUAAUAAUCAAAAGGGCAUGAUUGGGUAAGUAGUUCUUUAUUUAUUUCUUAUCUUUUUCUCCACUUGUAAUUAACAAGGAU